RNAcentral lists this ribosomal RNA (471 nucleotides) under uncultured bacterium. Its description in RNAcentral is "bacterial SSU rRNA". It matches the Rfam family "Bacterial small subunit ribosomal RNA", at positions 32 to 511 of the family's 1533-position model. The record is from RNAcentral.
AAUCAACGCUGGCGGCGUGCCUCAGACAUGCAAGUCGAACGAUUAAAGCUCCCUUCGGGGAGUGCAUAGAGUGGCGCACGGGUGAGUAACACGUAAGUAAUCUACCCUUGAGUGGGGAAUAACGUUCGGAAACGGACGCUAAUACCGCAUAAUGCAGCGGCAUCGCAAGAUGACAGUUGUUAAAGGAGCAAUCCGCUUAAAGAGGAGCUUGCGGCAGAUUAGCUUGUUGGUAAGGUAACGGCUUACCAAGGCUACGAUCUGUAUCCGGUCUAAGAGGACGGUCGGACACACUGACACUGAAUAACGGGUCAGACUCCUACGGGAGGCAGCAGUCGGGAAUUUUGGGCAAUGGGCGAAAGCCUGACCCAGCAACGCCGCGUGAAGGAUGAAGUAUUUCGGUAUGUAAACUUCGAAAGAAUAGGAAGAAUAAAUGACGGUACUAUUUAUAAGCUCCGGCUAACUACGUGCCAG